This 377-nucleotide ribosomal RNA is filed under the name uncultured bacterium. RNAcentral's name for it is "bacterial SSU rRNA". It matches the Rfam family "Bacterial small subunit ribosomal RNA", at positions 523 to 898 of the family's 1533-position model. The record is from RNAcentral.
AUACGUAGGGUGCAAGCGUUGUCCGGAAUUACUGGGUGUAAAGGGAGCGUAGGCGGGAUUGUAAGUUGGAUGUGUAAUGUACCGGCUCAACCGGUAACUUGCAUUCAAAACUGCAGUUCUUGAGUGAAGUAGAGGCAGGCGGAAUUCCUAGUGUAGCGGUGAAAUGCGUAGAUAUUAGGAGGAACACCAGUGGCGAAGGCGGCCUGCUGGGCUUUUACUGACGCUGAGGCUCGAAAGCAUGGGUAGCAAACAGGAUUAGAUACCCUGGUAGUCCACGCCGUAAACGAUGGGUACUAGGUGUAGGAGGUAUCGACUCCUCCUGUGCCGCCGUUAACACAAUAAGUACCCCGCCUGGGGAGUACGGUCGCAAGAUUAAA